Notothenia coriiceps (black rockcod) is the source of this 487-nucleotide non-coding RNA. Lineage: Eukaryota; Metazoa; Chordata; Actinopteri; Perciformes; Nototheniidae. The record is from the annotation of a RefSeq genome assembly.
UGUUGUAGAGAUGGUACAUUGGCUGUGGAUUAUUCUUGCUGCUCUCUCCUUUGAGUGUAAAGGACAAGACACAGUGACCCAGACACCAGGAGAAGUCAGCGCUACUGAAGGAGACACAGUUACACUUGACUGCACAUUUAGGACAACUGACAAAUAUCCCUAUCUGUUCUGGUACAAACAAGAAGUCAAUGAUCUGCCUUUGUAUAUUCUGCGACGUGAUACUUAUGGAACAGAAGAGAAUGCUGCAGAGUUCCAGAAAGACAGAUUUGAUGCUACACUCAACGAGACAUCAGUUCCUCUGCAGAUCUCCUCUGCUGCAGUGACAGACUCUGCUGUGUACUACUGUGCUCUGAGGCCCACAGUGACAGGAAACACCAACACUCUGUACAAAAACCUCUGGAGCAAAGACAACACAAUACUGAUCAACAUCCACCAGAGGGAGUCUCUCUCUGUCAGACUUCAGCAGGAUGAACUCAUGAGCAACUAA